This 305-nucleotide ribosomal RNA is filed under the name uncultured bacterium. RNAcentral describes it as "bacterial SSU rRNA". It matches the Rfam family "Bacterial small subunit ribosomal RNA", at positions 334 to 653 of the family's 1533-position model. The record is from RNAcentral.
GUAUCCUACGGGACGCAGCAGUGGGGAAUAUUGCACAAUGGGCGAAAGCCUGAUGCAGCAACGCCGCGUGAAGGAAGAAGGGUUUCGGCUCGUAAACUUCUAUCAACAGGGACGAAAGAAAUGACGGUACCUGAAUAAGAGGCCCCGGCUAACUACGUGCCAGCAGCCGCGGUAAUACGUAGGGGGCAAGCGUUAUCCGGAAUUACUGGGUGUAAAGGGUGAGUAGGCGGCAUGGUAAGCCAGAUGUGAAAGCCUUGGGCUUAACCCGAGGAUUGCAUUUGGGACUAUCAAGCUAGAGGACAGGG